Molecule: long non-coding RNA, 1528 nt
Filed under: Homo sapiens (human)
Lineage: Eukaryota; Metazoa; Chordata; Mammalia; Primates; Hominidae
Description: OSER1 divergent transcript
Source: RNAcentral
AUUUGCUCCCGACCCGCUUUUGGGGCGUGCCUGCUUCCUCCUCUCUGUUAGGUGAGUGAGUAGGCGUCAUUCUUCACAGUAGUCCUCUGCCUCCACCGCCCCGGGAUCUCCUUGCGCUCGGUCCUCUACGUGGAGUCACCUAUGCAGAGGAAUUCCACGGGGCGGGGGCGAGGACAGGGUGCGGGGGUCUUUAUGGCAGACAAUCCCCGGCUGAGCGCUUGGCCAGAGUUUCUGUGAUGCUAGAAUCUGGACUGCCUGCGACCUCUCCGGGACUCGGACACCAGCCCUCGCCUCCUGGUGAUCUUUUAGGUCCUGCAGAGAAGUGAAGAGAUGAGCCCCAGAGAGGCGAAGCCACUUGAGCUCGUGAGUGACAGUCAGAUGUCAAGCCCUGCUCUUUCUAAAGCGUGCUGCCUUCAGAAAAGAAGAGCCAGAAGGAUGGAAAUUACUUCAGAAAGAUGAAUACCAGCUUUGAAGGAAUAAAAGCUGACGAGGAAUUGAAGGAGUUGAGGCACGAGCUUGAACAGGGUUGCAUGUUUGGCCCUUGAUUGUAAAUGCCCAUUGCUGCACCUGUUCCUGUUACUUGGGGAGUUGCAGCAGAAGGAACAGCGGCCUGGGACUCCAGAGAACUGGGUUCCCUCUCAUCCCUCCAGGGCCACCACUUCUUGUGGGCCCUUGGGCAAGUCACUGUACUUUCUGAGUCUCAGUUUCCCCAUUUGCAGAAUGGAAAUAACUACCCCGGUCUACCAACUUAGAAGAAUUGCUUUGAGGAUCUGAUAAGGUGGUGUGGAUGAUGCUGCCUUGGGGGCUUUACAGUCUGGAGCUCAAGGGACCCCUUAAGUUGGGCUUACUUAGUAACUCCAGGGGUGGGCAGAACAGGACUCCAAUGAGGGUUUUUUUCUUUUUCCCUUUUUUUUCUUUUCCUAUCUCUUAACUUUUAUCUUUAUUAUUUUACAAUGCCCUUGUAAGAUGAAACAAGUGAUGCUGAAAUAUCUUUUUCUUUUUUAACCUUUAUUUUAGAAUUGGGGUACAUGUGCAGGUUUGUUACAUAGGUACAGUGUGGGCUGCUGAGGUUUGGGAGUACGAAUGAAUUAGUCACCCCAGUGGUGAGCAUAGUGCCCGAUAAGUGGUUUUUUCAACCCUUACUCCCAUCCCUCUCCAUUCUUGUGUUCCCCAGUGUCUGCUGUUCCCAUUUUUAUGACCAUGUGUACUCAAUGUUUAGCUCCCACUUAGAAGUAAGAACAUGCCCAGCACUUUGGGAGGCCGAGGUGGGUGGAUCAUGAGGUCAAGAGAUCGAGACCAUCUUGGCUAACAAAGUGAAACCCUGUCUCUACUAAAAACAUAAAAAAUUGGCCGGGUGUGGUGGUGGGCACCUGUAGUCCUAGCUACUCGGGAGGCUGAGACAGGAGAAUCGCCUGAACCGGGGAGGUGGAGGUUGCAGUGAGCUGAGAUUGUACCACUGCACUCCAGCCUGGGUGACAGAGUGAGACUCCAUCUCAAAAAAAUAAAAAUAAAAAAAUAAAAAGAAUGU